UUGGGAAUGAAAGGAAUGGCAGGAGAGUGUGAGACCGAAAAGGCAUGUUUCCUGCGGGAUGCCUCUCUGCUCCCGGCUUCGGAGGCCUGUGCCUCACCUCGUCCGAGGCCAGCACCAGAUCAGUCAGGGGGCAGCAGUGUGGAGUAGUGGUUAGGGCUCUGGACUCUUGACCGGAGGAUCGUGGGUUCAAUCCCAGGUCCUGAUUCAUCGGACUGCCGAGUCAGAGCCCUUUUAUGUGUUUUCAGAUCCUCUGAGCCUGGUGCUAUGUAAAGGCGGCUCAUUGGUCAGGGAUCUCUUCACAUCCUAACUUCAAGUCUGGGCCCCUCCAAGCCUGCCUCCUAAGUCCGGGCUCUCUUUGUCUGCCUCUGUCCCACUAACAAGCUUGUUUUCUGCUUCCUCUAUUCUACAGCCUUAACAAACGCCCCGUGAAUUAUUAAAAGUCUGCGUAAAAGCGCUAAAAUUCAAGUCUGU
Molecule: long non-coding RNA, 471 nt
Organism: Acipenser ruthenus (sterlet)
Lineage: Eukaryota; Metazoa; Chordata; Actinopteri; Acipenseriformes; Acipenseridae
Exons: 3
Source: RefSeq, a predicted model, not a curated record